CAAUAGCGUAUAUUAAAGUUGUUGCGGUUAAAAAGCUCGUAGUUGGAUUUCUGCCGAGGACGACCGGUCCGCCCUCUGGGUGUGUAUCUGGUUUGGCCUGGGCAUCUUCUUGGAGAACGUAGCUGCACUUGACUGUGUGGUGCGGUGUCCAGGACUUUUACUUUGAGGAAAUUAGAGUGUUUCAAGCAGGCACACGCCUUGAAUACAUUAGCAUGGAAUAAUAAGAUAGGACCUCGGUUCUAUUUUGUUGGUUUCUAGAGCUGAGGUAAUGAUUAAUAGGGAUAGUUGGGGGCAUUCGUAUUUAACUGUCAGAGGUGAAAUCCUUGGAUUUGUUAAAGACGGACUACUGCGAAAGCAUCUGCCAUGGAUGUUUUCAUUGA
RNAcentral lists this ribosomal RNA (380 nucleotides) under uncultured eukaryote. RNAcentral describes it as "partial 18S ribosomal RNA". It matches the Rfam family "Eukaryotic small subunit ribosomal RNA", at positions 592 to 976 of the family's 1831-position model. The record is from RNAcentral.